Long non-coding RNA from Aethalodelphis obliquidens (Pacific white-sided dolphin), 285 nucleotides. RefSeq lists it as uncharacterized. The transcript is spliced from 3 exons. NCBI's taxonomy places the organism in Eukaryota, Metazoa, Chordata, Mammalia, Artiodactyla, Delphinidae. The record is from RefSeq and is a predicted model, not a curated record.
GUAUGAUGUUGAGGGGUUGAACAAUCUCACAUCAACAAAUAAGAUAAUAUUCAGUUCAGGAAUAUAAAAAAAUCCCCAACCUCCUCUUAUUUUAUUUUAUAAAAUAGGUCUUAUUUUAAAGAACUAUUGGAGGGGGACUUACCUGAUGGCGCAGUGGUUAAGACUGCACACCCAACGCAGGGGGCCCGGGUUCGCUCCCUGGUCUAGGAACUAGAUCCCACAUGCAUGCCACCACUAAGAGUUCGAAUACCACAACUAAGGACCCUAUUAAGGAGUCCGCCUGCC